Molecule: ribosomal RNA, 253 nt
Filed under: uncultured bacterium
Lineage: Bacteria
Description: partial 16S ribosomal RNA
Rfam family: Bacterial small subunit ribosomal RNA
Source: RNAcentral
UACGUAGGUGGCAAGCGUUGUCCGGAAUUAUUGGGCGUAAAGCGCGCGCAGGCGGUCCUUUAAGUCUGAUGUGAAAGCCCACGGCUCAACCGUGGAGGGUCAUUGGAAACUGGAGGACUUGAGUACAGAAGAGGAAAGCGGAAUUCCACGUGUAGCGGUGAAAUGCGUAGAGAUGUGGAGGAACACCAGUGGCGAAGGCGGCUUUCUGGUCUGAAACUGACGCUGAGGCGCGAAAGCGUGGGGAGCAAACAGG